GACGAACGCUGGCGGCGUGCCUAAUACAUGCAAGUCGAACGCUUCUUUCCUCCCGAGUGCUUGCACUCAAUUGGAAAGAGGAGUGGCGGACGGGUGAGUAACACGUGGGUAACCUACCCAUCAGAGGGGGAUAACACUUGGAAACAGGUGCUAGUACCGCAUAACAGUUUAUGCCGCAUGGCAUAAGAGUGAAAGGCGCUUUCGGGUGUCGCUGAUGGAUGGACCCGCGGUGCAUUAGCUAGUUGGUGAGGUAACGGCUCACCAAGGCCACGAUGCAUAGCCGACCUGAGAGGGUGAUCGGCCACACUGGGACUGAGACACGGCCCAGACUCCUACGGGAGGCAGCAGUAGGGAAUCUUCGGCAAAGGACGAAAGUCUGACCGAGCAACGCCGCGUGAGUGAAGAAGGUUUUCGGAUCGUAAAACUCUGUUGUUAGAGAAGAACAAGGACGUUAGUAACUGAACGUCCCCUGACGGUAUCUAACCAGAAGGCCACGGCUAACUACGUG
RNAcentral lists this ribosomal RNA (508 nucleotides) under uncultured bacterium. Its description in RNAcentral is "partial 16S ribosomal RNA". It matches the Rfam family "Bacterial small subunit ribosomal RNA", at positions 28 to 507 of the family's 1533-position model. The record is from RNAcentral.